Castor canadensis (American beaver) is the source of this 1766-nucleotide long non-coding RNA. RefSeq lists it as uncharacterized. The record is from RefSeq and is a predicted model, not a curated record. NCBI's taxonomy places the organism in Eukaryota, Metazoa, Chordata, Mammalia, Rodentia, Castoridae.
GCUCCAGGGUAAGUCGGUCCCGGUGGCUGCUGGCCAGAGUCCCCUGCGUGGCCAUGUGGCCCCAGGGCUAGCCCACCGCCCCUUCUCGGCGCGCUCCUCCCUGCCCCGGCGUCCACCCCACCCCGCCGCCCCGGCGAGACCCUGGUGAGCCCGUCGGGCUGGGACCCGGCGGAAGCACAGGGCGGGACGGCUUCCAGGGUCUUGGCGAGGACCCCGCGCGCCCUCAGUAGUCCUGGGGACAGGGACACAGUCUGUUUAUGGAGUGAACGCGAUCAGAGGCCCCGUGGAGUUGAAGAUGCUGAUGAUAUUAAGGUCCCAUGCCUGGAGGAGUCAGUGAAACUUGUGAAGAAGAUAAGGUGUGUGAUGUGGCUAUGUAUACAAAAUAGAGGAUUUGACUUUCUUCAUCCCUUUCAUGGUGGGAGUAGGGGUGAAUUUUGUGAUGCUCCAAAUUAAAUAUAGAAAGAUAAUUUGGGAAUUUUGUACCUCUGCUCUGUAACUGAGUUGGCCCCAUAAGAGAAGUUCUGUAGCGUUCAGUUUCAUUAUGUAAGAUAAGUUUCCUAUCAUCCAGUCCUAGUGUAAAACUUGACCCAGUAUUAGCAUCAAUUUUGUAUGUUUCCAUGUUUUUCUGCAAUAGAUGACUUUAAUGAUUAAAUUUGAACCUUUGACAGAAACAGAUCUCCAAGAGAUCAGGGAGGGGUGGAUUGCAGAUGGACAAAAGGGAUUUUUGUUUGUUUGUUUUAAGUGAGUUACAUCUUCACUGCAUUUGUCAAACACCUAUUUGACAGGGUCAAUUUUCCUGAAUGUAAAUUCAUACUCUAAUAAACAUGACCUUUAAAACAUCCUUUCUGGUGUCUUAAUGACUUGUUUCCAAAGAAAUCUGGAAGGUGGUUUGGUAAUACCAUUUACAUGACUUUAUUCUGAUAUUAACAGCAAAAAAUGUGUUAUUUUUAGGAUAUAAAGUCACGUACGUGACUCAUUAUACGACAACGCUGAGAGCUAGGUGUUACAGGUAGUAAGGCAUUGGCACGCUAGUCUGAUGAACGUCACCCUAUGCAUAAAGGGGGCAACAACAUGGGUUGCUCUGCCUUUGCUGUGGUACUUUUCCCAGUCUGAAAACCCAUUGUCGCCACAAGUAGCAAAAUGCGCCAUGGAAGGUUACAUGUUCCAUUGCUUUGUUAAUACUAACAGCCUUGCUUUCCAUAAUGGCUGAUUUCCAUUCCAAUAAAGCAGAGCCUUGGCCAGUAUUGGCUUGCCAGGAAAGUAGGAAAAUGAGGUUCCAGAGGCAGAGUAACUGGCCUUGGGAGCCUGAUGGUAGGUAAGCCACUGAAUUUACUCCUGGGAAAGGCUGAUUGAAAGAAUCAGUCUGAUUCCUUUUUCCUCUUGGAGAUAGUCAAAGAUGAUUCUGGAAGGACCAAUGGGUUCAAUGAGCCCUGCCCUGUGAUCAAGGGUACUGAGCUCAGUUUGUGCCAUCUUUCCUGUGUGAGCAAACGGUCCUUCAGCCUAUUUUCUGGGUUUGAUGGAUUCUUUGCUGCACUCCCAAAUCCCUAUUCUUAAACCAUAGCAACUGAGAAUUGUACAAUACUGUGAUUAAGAGAUUUGGAACCGCUGAGAAUGGGGCAAGUAGGAUUAACUUGCCUUCUUUAGUACAGCACACAUACCCUGUGGUUAACAGCUGGAGAGGAAUGAAAACACCGUUACUUGUGCUUCGUUUGCUUAAAGAGAAGGGAAGCAAAUUUGAACUUAAUGUUGUCAGAAGAGUUAUUCUA